AGAAUUGAUCUGGUCAGACGAACGCUGGCAGCGUGGAUUAGGCGAUGCAAGUCGAACGGGAUCCGGGAGGCAGCAAUGUCGCCUGGUGAGAGUGGCGGAAGGGCGAGGAACACGUGGGCAACCUGUCUUUGAAGGUGGGGAAAACCGUUGGAAACGACGGCUAAUACCGAAUGUAGCGCCCGCUCGCAUGGAGCGGAGCGGCCAAAGGGGGCGAAAGCUCCCCCUCGUCCGAGGGGCCCGCGCACCAUCAGCUUGUUGGCGGGGUAACGGCCACCAAGGCUCACGGUUAGCUGGUCUGAGAGGAUGGCCAGCCGCACUGGGACUGAGAUACUGCCCAGACUCCUACGGGAGGCUGCAGUCGAGGAUCAUUUGCAAUGGGCGAAAGCCUGACAAUGCGACGCUGCGUGGAGGAUGAAGGCCCUCGGGUUGUAAACUCCUGUCAUGGGGGAAAAGGAAAAGGGACCCAACACGUCCCCGAUUUGAUGGUACCCCAAGAGGAAGCGACGGCUAACUCUGUGCCAGCCGCCGC
Molecule: ribosomal RNA, 529 nt
Filed under: uncultured bacterium
Lineage: Bacteria
Description: bacterial SSU rRNA
Rfam family: Bacterial small subunit ribosomal RNA
Source: RNAcentral